AAAUGCGAUAAGUAAUGUGAAUUGCAGAAUUCAGUGAAUCAUCGAAUCUUUGAACGCACCUUGCGCUCCUUGGUAUUCCUUGGAGCAUGCCUGUUUGAGUAUCUUGAAAUCUUCAAAGUAAAUCUUUUGUUAACUCAAUUGGUUUCUACUUUGGUAUUGGAGGUCUUUGCAGCUUCACACCUGCUCCUCUUUGUUCAUUAGCUGGAUCUCAGUGUUAUGCUUGGUUCCACUCGGCGUGAUAAGUUAUCUAUCGCUGAGGACACUGUAAAAGGUGGCCAAGGUAAAUGCAGAUGAACCGCUUCUAAUAGUCCAUUGACUUGGACAAUACUUUUAUGAUCUGAUCUCAAAUCAGGUAGGACUACCCGCUGAACUUAAGC
RNAcentral lists this unclassified non-coding RNA (377 nucleotides) under plant metagenome. RNAcentral's name for it is "partial contains 5.8S ribosomal RNA, internal transcribed spacer 2, and large subunit ribosomal RNA". The stretch from base 1 to 104 matches the Rfam family "5.8S ribosomal RNA", at positions 51 to 154 of the family's 154-position model. The record is from RNAcentral.